AACGCUAGCUACAGGCUUAACACAUGCAAGUCGAGGGGCAGCAUGAUUGAAGCUUGCUUCAAUUGAUGGCGACCGGCGCACGGGUGAGUAACACGUAUCCAACCUUCCGUACACUCAGGGAUAGCCUUUCGAAAGAAAGAUUAAUACCUGAUGGUAUCUUAAGCACACAUGUAAUUAAGAUUAAAGAUUUAUCGGUGUACGAUGGGGAUGCGUUCCAUUAGAUAGUAGGCGGGGUAACGGCCCACCUAGCCUACGAUGGAUAGGGGUUCUGAGAGGAAGGUCCCCCACAUUGGAACUGAGACACGGUCCAAACUCCUACGGGAGGCAGCAGUGAGGAAUAUUGGUCAAUGGACGAGAGUCUGAACCAGCCAAGUAGCGUGAAGGAUGAAGGUCCUACGGAUUGUAAACUUCUUUUAUAAGGGAAUAAAACCUCCCACGUGUGGGAGCUUGUAUGUACCUUAUGAAUAAGCAUCGGCUAACUCCGUGCCAGCAGCCGCGGUAAUACGGAGGAUGCGAGCGUUAUCCGGAUUUAUUGGGUUUAAAGGGAGCGCAGACGGGUCGUUAAGUCAGCUGUGAAAGUUUGGGGCUCAACCUUAAAAUUGCAGUUGAUACUGGCGUCCUUGAGUGCGGUUGAGGUGUGCGGAAUUCGUGGUGUAGCGGUGAAAUGCUUAGAUAUCACGAAGAACUCCGAUUG
This 694-nucleotide ribosomal RNA is filed under the name uncultured bacterium. Its description in RNAcentral is "bacterial SSU rRNA". It matches the Rfam family "Bacterial small subunit ribosomal RNA", at positions 32 to 715 of the family's 1533-position model. The record is from RNAcentral.